CAAUCUUGAUUUUCAUGAAGAUUUCUCAAAGGGUUCCUUACAUAGUUCUUUGGCAUUCUGUCCACCUCCUUUACCUUCAUAAUCUUCUAUUUUUUUAGAAAAAUAAUUUUUGUUAUUAUUUUUUUUAAAAAAUGGAGGUGGGCAUACUGUCAACAGAUUUGUGUUAGUUUCUCUUUGUGAAAUCUUCUUGAUGUUAAUUG
Non-coding RNA from Solanum lycopersicum (tomato), 200 nucleotides. RefSeq annotates it as microRNA MIR394. NCBI's taxonomy places the organism in Eukaryota, Viridiplantae, Streptophyta, Magnoliopsida, Solanales, Solanaceae. The record is from RefSeq and is marked provisional.